Molecule: non-coding RNA, 1854 nt
Organism: Physcomitrium patens
Lineage: Eukaryota; Viridiplantae; Streptophyta; Bryopsida; Funariales; Funariaceae
Source: RefSeq, a predicted model, not a curated record
GGCGGGCGCGCGGAAGGGCUGCGGGGGGGGUCGGGUGGGGGUUGUGCUGCGCUAGUGCUUCGUUGCUUUCGGAUAAGAUUAGCUGAGCUGUUCUCUGUUCACCUCCCCCGCCACGGCCUACUCUAUGCCCCCACACCCUCUCUACCCAUCCAUCCAUUUAUUCAUACAUCCACCUUCCCUCCAAUAUUCAUCCAUUCCACCACCACCACUUCAGUUGCCUUCUUCGUCCCUAUCUUUCGUCCGUUUGCAAGUAGUCGUCAAUGGUGGUGGGUCCCACCCUUCCUUCCUCACCACCGUUGUUCAUGAUUACUCCUCCUCAAGUCCCUCUUCCCCUUUCCUUGCAGUCUUCCUUCCAUUCUCCUCCUGGCUUAUCAUUACUCAUUUUGUCUGCUCUCAUGUAUGUAUAUAUACACAUGUAUGUAGUAUUUCACGUACAAUGGCGCGUACGAGUCCCAAGUGUACGUCUCAUUAGGGCUCCCAUUCCUAAAUCAGGAAAAGCACGACGAGCAUGUUGUGAGACGAUACAAAUAUGGACUUGCAACCGAAAGGCAAGUUGGCCCUAGCCGUUGUUGUUGUUGCUGCUGCUGUUGAUGUUGUUGUUGUUGUUGUUGUUUUACUUAGACGCAAAGUUUGGUGCCACGUACUGGCACAUGAAUGAAUAGAAACGAGUAGGGAGGGAGCUAGGGUAGAGUAGGAGUAGUAGGCUCAUCGGAACCGCCAUCGGAACGACGGAUGAGGUCCCACUUGUGACUUCCACAUGCCAUUCCGCUGGCAUUCGCGCACAAGCCUGUUGCGCUCCGUCGUCAACUAACGCCAUAGCUAUUCCCGUCGUGUCCCCCAGGAGAACCAGCGCAGUUCAGCAUUAUUCGUAUUCCUGUCUCGGAGAGGCCUUUUCUCUGACCACUGCGUCCGCAUUUCUUUAAGCCUCUCUGGAGUCGCACAUUCCUGCAUCUGGCACGGGGACUAGCACUUCCAAAGGAAAUUUCAAGUCAAACAUACAAUUAUUUUCACGAAAUGCGAUUUCUCAAUUUUUUGUUAACUUGAUAGUCCUAAGUCAAAUGCUCCUAAGUGGAAUCAUUGUAAGAGUGUCACCCAGAGAUGUUGGAAUAUCUAGUAUGCAAUGGAUUUAUUCUUAAAUAUUGAAUAUUAUUAUUUUAAGCUUAUUUAACCCUCGCCUGUUCUACACUCGUUCUGUGUAAUUUUAUUCAGUAAUUUGCAUGUUUAUCUCGAAUUGGGGUGUUGAUGAUCAGCACAGAAGAUUCUAAUGCUCUCCUUUGCAUAAUAGACUAACCUGAUGGUGUUCAUUGGAAAUAUGACGACUUUUGGGGGUUGUUGGAUAAGUUUGAGAAUUUAAAAAUCCAGAGUUAUUGUUCAUACGCAACAAACCAGCCUCGUGAGGUGUGGAGGUGGAGAAUGGAGUGAAGAUAGAUCUCCCAGGUUCGUACAGAGAAGACAUGUCAGGUGGUUUCGUUGGUCUGGUGUUGUCAUAGAAGCAUUCCACUCGUUGUUUGUCACCUCCUUGUUGAUUUUGCAUUGUAUUGCCCUAGUCCAGCAUUUAAUUCGAUGAAACGAUACACGACUAGUUGCUCAUAGUAGACACCUAUUUGUCCCAGCCCUGCCUGCUUUCCAUUGCCAUUGAUAUCAAUUGGAAAAUUGGACUUGCUUGUAUGUUUGAUUCAGCAUAGAAUAGCCAGAGGUCUGUUCCUACAUGCCAGUCCCUAAACCUGGUCUUUAAAUCUGAUUUGGAAUGCGAGCUUAACGUCAUUGCAUUGUGACAGUUUACACUGUCAAUAUAUGUAAACCACCGUUUUUUUUUUAUUGGAAAUUGGCACUUCUACCUUCUUCUUUUUUCAA